UAGGAGACCAUCCUGAAGUCUCGUAUUUCAGGGUCUCAUAGGUCAAUCCCGCAAGCAACUCGGCUUCCGAUUCCCUCCAGUUUUCAGGGUUCGUCCCUGGGCGCUAUCUGACAAUUUAUAGUUCAAGAAGACGACGAGCAAGAAACGUCGCAGCUCGGCUGAGGCCCGUGGGGGCAGGCUGGGAUGCGAACGCGCUGUGGAUGUUGAGUGCGAGGUGACGAAAGGAACCUCGGACUUCAAACCAAACACCACGCGGGUUUAACGGUGCCUGGCCGCGCUGAUUGCGCUGGACCUUCGGGUCUGGUGAGGUCGGCGUGCGCGCAA
RNAcentral lists this unclassified non-coding RNA (324 nucleotides) under uncultured bacterium. Its description in RNAcentral is "16S-23S ribosomal RNA intergenic spacer". The record is from RNAcentral.